GAUGAACGCUGGCGGCGUGCCUAAUACAUGCAAGUCGAGCGAACAGACGAGGAGCUUGCUCCUCUGACGUUAGCGGCGGACGGGUGAGUAACACGUGUAUAACCUACCUAUAAGACUGGGAUAACUUCGGGAAACCGGAGCUAAUACCGGAUAAUAUAUUGCACCGCAUGGUUCAAUAGUGAAAGACGGUUUUGCUGUCACUUAUAGAUGGAUCCGCGCCGCAUUAGCUAGUUGGUAAGGUAACGGCUUACCAAGGCAACGAUGCGUAGCCGACCUGAGAGGGUGAUCGGCCACACUGGAGCUGGGACACGGUCCAGACUCCUGAGGGAGGCAGCAGUAGGGAAUCUUCCGCAAUGGGCGAGAGCCUGACGGAGCAACGCCGCGUGAGUGAUGAAGGUCUUCGGAUCGUAAAACUCUGUUAUUAGGGAAGAACAAAUGUGUAAGUAACUAUGCACGUCUUGACGGUACCUAAUCAGAAAGCCACGGCUAACUACGUG
Molecule: ribosomal RNA, 497 nt
Filed under: uncultured bacterium
Lineage: Bacteria
Description: partial 16S ribosomal RNA
Rfam family: Bacterial small subunit ribosomal RNA
Source: RNAcentral